UUUGUUUUUUUUUUGUUUUUUUUUUUUUUUUUUGUCUCGUCACGUCUUCACGAGCUCUGGGGCUCCGGAGAGGCUCGGUGAGCCGGGUUGUUGCUGCAGCAAUUGGGUUCAAAGGUGAUCGGGUUUUGUUGUUGGGCGGAGCUGCGGUGCAACAUCUCAUCUAAAUGCCUCCGGAGCGGAGUUGAUCUGGGCAACUCUAGAUUCUCAUCUUUUGGUUGUUUUUCGAAUCAGUGGGCCGAGGAGGGAUCAUCAACGGUUCACAUUCUCUCUUGAUUCUUUUUACCUGCGACAAGUUACUCUUCUUUUUGUGACCUCAUUGGUAGUGGGCAGUCAUAGCGCACAGUCCUAAUCCUUACAGCUUCGACGGUGCGAUGGAGCGUGGCUUCAAGUGCUGGAUCGUUUAUUAGUGGGAGUAGUAGAAGAUAGUUCAUUUCACAGGAGGUGGACAACAUUUGAGGAUCAUAUCAAUUUGACAUUCUGAUCGAUAUGACAUCGAGGGAUGUUCUAAGCGAUAUGGUUCAUGGCCUCUUGUUUUUUAUUAUUGUCUUUUAUUUCUACAAAGAGAAGUGUAGCUGGCGAUAGUCUCUAUUAGCAAGCAACCGUGCAGAGUGACGGCAACUAGUCUUUACUCUAGCUCUUCUGUCCAACCAACAGUGUGGGCUAUUGUAUUCUUGCGGUGCAGCGAGGUGGUCUCCCUCUUCUUAAAGGCGGCAGCAUUUUUUUCA
Physcomitrium patens is the source of this 725-nucleotide non-coding RNA. NCBI's taxonomy places the organism in Eukaryota, Viridiplantae, Streptophyta, Bryopsida, Funariales, Funariaceae. The record is from RefSeq and is a predicted model, not a curated record.